CUGGCUCGAAAGGCAACCCGUUUACUUUAUUGUUACGGAUGUAGAAUGAAGGAAGUCAGAAGCGUGAGGACUUAAUGCCAGCCGUUGCGUUACUUUGACUGCUGUGAAAACAACCAAAUAUUAACAUUUAUAUUUCCUGUAUAAGAUAGUGCUUUAUUAAAAUAGUCGAACACUGAUUGUUAAGCUGCCUUUUGAUCACACGCGUUAUCUCGUUCCCAAUGUUCAUUUGAGAGAAGCAUUGUUGUUUACAAGGCCUCGGAUAUCCGCGGUCGAAAUUAGCGAGCUACGCUAACGCAGCAAACAUCAUCCCGGGCAGGAACGCGGGGCCUAGGCGGGCUGUGGUAUUGGACCGCAGCAACGAGGAGCAUCCGGCCGUCCCAUGAUGGUGUGCGAGCUCUUCCUGCUGACCUCCAUCUGGUUUCUCUUUGUUAUCUUCUGGAUGGAGACCAUAAGUGUCUGGCUCUUCCUCUGCAAUUUCUACCAGGACCGAGCUUUUUAUCACUGGGGAGAUGGGGUCUUUGCUGAUGACCCAGGUCAAAUGCUGUACAUGCUAGGCAGGGUGGACGGGUCAGGGCGGAUGCACACCUGAGUCGGGAGAAGGAGGAGGAGGAGGAGGGCAGACUGGGAGGGGAGUGUCCCUGGGGCGGCUGCACGUAAAGGUGGAAGAAUGGGAGCUCACUGCCGCACACUGACUCGCAGGUGACCCUCGUCUGGCAGGGACAGGGACACUGUGUGGGACAGACUGGAUGGUCGGGCACAGAUUGCCCUGCACGGAACAGGACUAUGGGCCCAGCAGGUGCUGGGGGUGUGAGCGAUGCCCCACCCAUGUGUACACAGCCCCGCCUAUGCAUUCAUAGCCCCGACCAUGCUUACCCUGCUCCAUCCAUGUUUACACAGCCACCCGGUUUGAACUGGCUCACUUUUCCUUUCACAGUGCCUCAUGGGUAAUACCAGAAUGAAACACACGCAUCAGAAGUUGCAAAGGAGGGUUUAUACCCCGUGCAUUAGCAUUAAUGAAGAAAGGGAAAUAUGUGUUAAUUUUCUGUGGAUUUAGGAUUUCUUAAUAUCAGUUGACACUUGGGAAUUGAGUACUGAGGUUGGAGUUUUUGAUCAAAGAAUCAGUUGGAGAAUUUUUUUUUUUUUUUUCUAGGCUGGUAAAUAUUGACGGUCAUGCACAAUUUGUUUUUCAUAAAUUGUAUUGCUAUGGUUUUUUUUGUUUGCUUUGUCCUGGCUUAGUUCACCAUGGAUGUAAGAGUGCAUUACCCUGCUGUAAAUGAUGGGUAGGUAUCUAACAUAGCAUUUCUUAAACAUUUUCCUUCAUAUAACUUUCUGUGGAUUAUCACUGUGAAAGGUAUCAAUUCUGUGUUAUCGCAGUAACACUUUAGUUGGGUUAAAACUUAAAUAAUGCUGAUCUUCAUUUGGAGAAUAUGGUAUGCUGAUUUGGGAACGAGCUUUUACACUUCUCAGAGAAUUCCUUUUAGGUGCAAGCAGAUGAGGGUUUAUGAUUGGGAGUAACUGAGUGUGUAGGAGCUACGUUCUAGGGAUAGGCUCUGAAAGACAUUGUGAUGGGUAUGUGGUGAAUGUGAUCCUGCAGAGUGAAAAGAGACCUGCAGGAUCUAGUUUGGCCCGAUCACACUGAAACCAGAAUUGAGGAGAUGCCAGUUUGAUGCCGCAUUGUCCCCGGCUGGUUCCGGGUUUUCACCGCACAGGCUGAUAUAGAACUGUGAAACGCACAUAUGUGACUGUGCUCUGUUGUAAAGGCCUGGCAAAAACGAGACCCAUUGACAUUAAUGUAGGCAUCAAACAGCCAGCGUCCCUUACUGCACGUACUGAGGCUGCUCAUUUUCCAGUGAGGGUAAAAAAGGUUUAACUCGUCAUUGGAAGGUCAGCUGCCACUACGCAGUUGCUACAGUGGUCCACUGGCUUUGAAUUUAAAAACUGCUGCAGUGUGAUCCAAGUAAGAAUGUUUGCAAUACACUAAACGUACCUGGUUAAGUUGACAAUGAGAUUAACUUUACAUAUUUUGUCCAAGUUUGUUUUUUUCUGUUAGGUCUGUCAAAUGUUUUUACAGAUUUGUAUCUUGGUUUGUCACAGUGUUGGGCCCAAGAAGCCAAACUGUAUUUUUCCCGUAUUUUCCGAUGUAUGCUGUGAGGAAAGAAAAGCCAGGUAUCGCUUGGCAUGAGCAGUUUCAAGCAAAUUUGAAAAUAACAAAGUAGGCUGUCUCUAUUCAAUACAAAUUUUUCUGCAACAAAAUUUAAAAUCAAAAAUUACAUUUCAUUUGUUUUAGAACCAGUUUGAAUCUUUUUCUUUCAGACUGAGAUUUUGAAACACUUUCAUACUUUUUUAUUUGCCCCAAAGAAUAAAGAAGUUCUAUAAAUCUAUACAUAAUUCAGUGCAUGAAUACAUUUUUGUCGGUAGUACAUAUUUGUUCCUUUUGAUAUUUUUAGGGUAUGAAGCACCUGCACAAUGUUGGGGCUGUAUGGUCAUUGUGGGAAUGAUCUUGUAAUUGUAGCAUCAGCUAUCUCCAGGCAGCUCAUUGGUUCUUAGUCCUGGUUCUGGUGAAUCACUGUCAUCUUCUCGUUCUCCAUUUUGCACAGAAUUUAUUAUUGGUGAUGGAAAAUCUUAAUUUCUUAAUGUCUUAUUUUAUUUUGGAAUGAAACUAUUAUAGUAGAUCACCAAUCUGUGCACAAGUACAUACUUGGCACAAUAAAGUCAGUAAAAACACAUUCAUACUAAAUAAAUGCAAUUAAUGAGAUAAAAUAUCUGAUCAGUGUUUGUCAGAUCUUGUCAAAUUUUCUUGUUACAUAGUCUUGCUACUGUAACAGAAUUGAAAUAAAAGUUGAUUUUCAUUAA
Molecule: long non-coding RNA, 2853 nt
Organism: Anguilla rostrata (American eel)
Lineage: Eukaryota; Metazoa; Chordata; Actinopteri; Anguilliformes; Anguillidae
Exons: 4
Source: RefSeq, a predicted model, not a curated record